Molecule: unclassified non-coding RNA, 148 nt
Filed under: uncultured Cenococcum
Lineage: Eukaryota; Fungi; Ascomycota; Dothideomycetes; Gloniales; Gloniaceae
Description: sequence contains ITS2
Source: RNAcentral
ACGACCGUCAAGCCUGGCUUGGUGUUGGGCGACGUCCCAUUUCUGGGACGCGCCUUGAAAUGCUCGGCGGCGUGGCACCGGCUUUAAGCGUAGCAGAAACUUUCGCUUUAAAAGUCGGGGCCCCGUCUGCCGGAAGACCUACUUUUAA